Molecule: ribosomal RNA, 497 nt
Filed under: uncultured bacterium
Lineage: Bacteria
Description: partial 16S ribosomal RNA
Rfam family: Bacterial small subunit ribosomal RNA
Source: RNAcentral
GAUGAACGCUGGCGGCGUGCCUAAUACAUGCAAGUCGAGCGAACAGACGAGGAGCUUGCUCCUCUGACGUUAGCGGCGGACGGGUGAGUAACACGUGGAUAACCUACCUAUAAGACUGGGAUAACUUCGGGAAACCGGAGCUAAUACCGGAUAACAUGUUGAACCGCAUGGUUCAACAGUGAAAGACGGUCUUGCUGUCACUUAUAGAUGGAUCCGUGCCGCAUUAGCCAGUUGGUAAGGUAACGGCUUACCAAGGCAACGAUGCGUAGCCGACCUGAGAGGGUGAUCGGCCACACUGGAACUGAGACACGGUCCAGACUCCUACGGGAGGCAGCAGUAGGGAAUCUUCCGCAAUGGGCGAAAGCCUGACGGAGCAACGCCGCGUGAGUGAAGAAGGUCUUCGGAUCGUAAAACUCUGUUAUUAGGGAAGAACAAAUGUGUAAGUAACUAUGCACGUCUUGACGGUACCUAAUCAGAAAGCCACGGCUAACUACGUG